UGAAGUUCAAUUGUGAUAGUUCUUAGGCUUUUCCUUAAUACACCAGCUAUCCACAGACACGGAUGUCUGUUGAAGUGAGAUAUGGGACAGGACGUCCCGUAUCGAACGGUAGCGGUCGAUGUUAUUACCUAUAUGAAAAGCCUUAGAAAUAUCCAAUUGAAGCUUC
This 166-nucleotide non-coding RNA is filed under the name unclassified sequences. The record is from Rfam.